AUUUUAUUAUUUUAUUCUCCACAAUAACCACUCAGGAGAACAAUUAAAGUGACGAAUGGAACAUUUAAUCUGAAAGUCAGUGGCCAAUGUCUUGGAAGUGUGUGUGUGUGUGUGUGUGUGUGUGGAGGAUAAAAGGUCAAAUUCAUAAAUGACAGAAAUAUAUGUAUGCAUUUGAGGGAGGUGAUAUUGAUAACAGUCCUUUAGGAAAUAGCUACUGGUCACUCCCUUUGGCUGGUUAUUCCCUUAUACCGUAGACAUGAUUAACAUUAAAAUUAGCUGACCAAUGAUCACAAACAUAAAGUGCUUGGUUACCAGUGUGUCAGGGGCUAUGACGAUCGACAGAGAACGUACACGCGUCAAACAGAUAAGCAAAUUCAGCGACUACAGAGUGGACCUCUCAACCAGUGGACAUGGCAAGGG
Long non-coding RNA from Gadus macrocephalus (Pacific cod), 420 nucleotides. RefSeq lists it as uncharacterized. The transcript has 2 exons. NCBI's taxonomy places the organism in Eukaryota, Metazoa, Chordata, Actinopteri, Gadiformes, Gadidae. The record is from RefSeq and is a predicted model, not a curated record.